This 293-nucleotide ribosomal RNA is filed under the name uncultured bacterium. Its description in RNAcentral is "partial 16S ribosomal RNA". It matches the Rfam family "Bacterial small subunit ribosomal RNA", at positions 505 to 796 of the family's 1533-position model. The record is from RNAcentral.
GUGUCAGCAGCCGCGGUAAGACGAACCGUGCAAACGUUAUUCGGAUUCAUUGGGCUUAAAGGGCGCGUAGGCGGCUUGACAAGUCUGAGGUGAAAACCCAUCGGCUCAACCGUGGAAGUGCCUCAGAAACUGUCGGGCUUGAGGGGGAUAGGGGCGCGUGGAACUCCCGGUGGAGCGGUGAAAUGUGUUGAGAUCGGGGGGAACGCCGGCGGCGAAAGCGGCGCGCUGGAUCUUUUCUGACGCUGAGGCGCGAAAGCCAGGGGAGCGAACGGGAUUAGAAACCCGAGUAGUCC